GGACGAACGCUGGCGGCGUGCUUAACCCAUGCAAGUCGAACGGAAAGGCCCUGCUUGCAGGGUACUCGAGUGGCGAACGGGUGAGUAACACGUGGGUGAUCUGCCCUGCACUUCGGGAUAAGCUUGGGAAACUGGGUCUAAUACCGGAUAGGAACCAUCUUUAGUGUGGUGGUUGGAAAGUUUUUUCGGUGUAGGAUGAGCUCGCGGCCUAUCAGCUUGUUGGUGGGGUAAUGGCCUACCAAGGCGGCGACGGGUAGCCGGCCUGAGAGGGUGUACGGCCACAUUGGGACUGAGAUACGGCCCAGACUCCUACGGGAGGCAGCAGUGGGGAAUAUUGCACAAUGGGCGCAAGCCUGAUGCAGCGACGCCGCGUGGGGGAUGAAGGCCUUCGGGUUGUAAACUCCUUUCGCUAGGGACGAAGCUUUGUUGUGACGGUACCUAGAUAAGAAGCACCGGCUAACUACGUG
Molecule: ribosomal RNA, 467 nt
Filed under: uncultured bacterium
Lineage: Bacteria
Description: partial 16S ribosomal RNA
Rfam family: Bacterial small subunit ribosomal RNA
Source: RNAcentral